CCUCAGAACAUCUUUCUUUUCCUUACUACUUUAUUUUCAUUUUUUACAGAUCCUACAGCUCAGGGCUUUGUCACAAAUUGCAAGCUCACACCUGGAUGCUGGUCAGAUGAGGAGACUGGAAAAGGAAAAAGAAACAUCCAUGGAGUAGUUCCCAAACAUAGCAUCUUGAGCUGCCAUAUGGACACUGGAAAAGCCCCUAUGGUGUUUCUCUUCAUCUCUCAUCUGACUCUCUACAGCUUCUCCUCAAGGUCUGCAACACUGACCUAUGGCACAUACGGUCCAAGGAUGGAGAAAAAAUGUAUGUAUCAUCAACGGAAAAAUAACCAAGUUCCCUGGCCUACUGCAAACAACCUGUGUCUCCUUGAGCUCUACUUUUGUGACAUAUUCUGUGGAAUGAUGUGACUCACGUCUGUACAUUGCUUUACAAUGUUAUGAGGAUAAAUGUAUGACACAUGGCAAUGGAAACACACUGUAAGAUUUAGAGACCAUGCAAGUGGCAAAUGGUACCACAUCUGUUCAGAGAACUAUAUGAUCCUCACUGUGAAUGUGAGUGCGAGGGAAAAAGAUACCUUAUAUGACACAUAACGUAAGGUGAAUAAUGACAUUGAUCCAAGUGAACAUAACUGCAAAAACCUGUAGAGAUACAAAGACAUUUUUGCCUAAAAUUUCUAGUGAACCUUUCACCACAAUAUUUCAAAGCAUAUCUGAGUUUGGGACUAUUAAGGGGCUUUAAAAAUGUAUUACUAAUGCAGUACCAGCCAGAAAGAAACUCUUAGUAUCAAAUUAAAAUGAGAUCACUUUGCUUUUCAGAGGUCCAGACAGAGAAAAAAUGGUGAAGUAAAAAGGACUUGUGACAUCUUACAAGUGACAGCAGUGUGUUUAUUGUCACACAAGCAUGUCUGAUCAAUCUCACGUUGCUGCUCAGGAGGUAAAGCACCCCGCUGCUGUAUACAUGUCCUGUCCUUCACUACAAGUCAUCUAAGAGUGUUUGUGCCUUGUUCACACAAAUACAAGACACCUGCCAGGCCAGACAGUGCAAACUAAUAAUCUUGUCGCUGACACUGACUUCAAUUCAGGACAAGAGGUAAUGGCCUUAAGUUAUACCAGGGGAGAUACAAGUUGGGUAUUAGGGUAUUAAUUUCUUCUCAGAAAGAGUGGUGACAUAGUAGAACAGGCUGCCCAGGGAGCUGGGGGAAUCACUGUCC
Lagopus leucura (white-tailed ptarmigan) is the source of this 1205-nucleotide long non-coding RNA. RefSeq lists it as uncharacterized. NCBI's taxonomy places the organism in Eukaryota, Metazoa, Chordata, Aves, Galliformes, Phasianidae. The record is from RefSeq and is a predicted model, not a curated record. The transcript is spliced from 4 exons.